This 869-nucleotide ribosomal RNA is filed under the name Parcubacteria group bacterium GW2011_GWF1_40_5. Its description in RNAcentral is "bacterial LSU rRNA". It matches the Rfam family "Bacterial large subunit ribosomal RNA", at positions 11 to 901 of the family's 2925-position model. The record is from RNAcentral.
UUAAGGGCGUACGGUGGAUGCCUUGACUUUAAGAGGCGAUGAAGGACGUGGCGUUGCUGCGAUAAGCUUCGGGGAGACGCAAAGCAGUCUUUGAUCCGGAGAUUUCCGAAUGGGGAAACCCUGUAGAGUAAACCUCUACAACCUUGAGCUUUAUGUUCAAGGAGCAUACCCUGGGAAGUGAAACAUCUCAGUACCAGGAGGAGUAGAGAACAAUAGUUAUUUCCCAAGUAGCGGCGAGCGAAAAGGAAGAAGCCCAAACUCGAGUAGCAAUACUCGGGGGUUGUAAGGUAACAAUUUUUAUUUAUUUAAAGAAGAGUCAAAAAAUAAAUUAUUAGCUUAAGUUCUUGGAAAAGGGCACCAUAGAGGGUGGACAUGAAUGGCCGGGGGGAAUCCAGCGGAACUAACCGCUAAGGCUAAAUACUCUUAAAGAUCGAUAGUGAACUAGUACCGUGAGGGAAAGGUGAAAAGCAGCCCGAUUAGGGCGGUGAAAUAGACCUGAAACCGUAUGUCUACAAGGAGUCGAACUCCGUCUUCGGAUGGAGAACGGCGUGCCUAUUGAAGAAUGAGCCAACGAGUUUAUGCAUACUGCUAGGUUAAGUUGACUAAAACAACAAAGCCGAAGGGAAACCGAGUGUUAAUAGCGCGACUGUAUAUUUAUUUAUACGGGUAGAAUGCAUAAGACCCGAAGCCAGGUGAGCUUGCCAUGAGCAGGAUGAAGUAGGUCGAAAGACUUAUGGAGGUCCGAACGGGUAGAUCGUACAACGUCUUCCGAUGACUUGUGGUAAGGAGUGAAAAGCUAAUCGAACCUGGUAAUAGCUGGUUCUCUCCGAAAUAGCUUUAGGGCUAGCGUCGUGUGUUUCUUUUGGGGG